AUGGCCAGCGUGAGUUCUGGGUCGAGAGAUUGCCACCAGGGAGAGGCGAGCAUGGAAGCGGAAGCACGAGAGAUGUCCCGCCUUGCUACGAGAGCAGCCGACAUGUCCCGCCGCGCGGAAGUAGCAGCACAGAGGUCCCGCCGCGCCGCUGAAGCAGCAUGGAGGUCCCGCCGCGCCAUCGAUGCAGCAGACGGGUCCGGCCGCGCCGUGGAAGCAUCAGAGAUGUCCCGCUGCGCCAUGAAUGCAACAGAGAUGUCCCGCCGCGCCGCGUCGGCCUGGGGAAAUUUCUUGCGGGUAGGCGACGACUAUUACAGGCGCAUGCAUGCGAUCGUCCAUAGCCGGAUGGAUCAGAUCUCCGGCUCGGCGAGGUUGCAGGAUGACAUGAUAGGCUCGUUUGAACAGGCUACCAGCGUCAUCCGGCAACUAAGGGAGGGCAAUGAGAGGCUCUGGGCCAAGCGCGACCUACUGAGGGAGAAUAUCGUCCGAAGUGCAGACCUGCAGGAGGAGACCAGUGCCUUGUUGAAGAAACUUAUGGACGAGAAUGACAUGCUCCGCAACGAGUGCCAAAGGCUGGUGGAGGAAUCUGUGGAUGUUCUCAAGCAGCGUCUUGAGGACACGAAAGAGCUCAUCACCGCUCGCCGCGGAGACUAG
RNAcentral lists this ribosomal RNA (651 nucleotides) under Triticum aestivum (bread wheat). RNAcentral describes it as "partial small subunit ribosomal RNA". The record is from RNAcentral. Lineage: Eukaryota; Viridiplantae; Streptophyta; Magnoliopsida; Poales; Poaceae.